UACGGGGGGAGCAAGCGUUGUUCGGAUUUACUGGGCGUAAAGGGCGCGUAGGCGGCCACCGCAAGUCAGUUGUGAAAUCUCUGGGCUUAACCCAGAAAGGUCAACUGAUACUGCGGGGCUAGAGUGCAGAAGGGGCAACUGGAAUUCUCGGUGUAGCGGUGAAAUGCGUAGAUAUCGAGAGGAACACCUGCGGCGAAGGCGGGUUGCUGGGCUGACACUGACGCUGAGGCACGAAAGCGUGGGGAGCAAACAGG
This 254-nucleotide ribosomal RNA is filed under the name uncultured bacterium. RNAcentral's name for it is "partial 16S ribosomal RNA". It matches the Rfam family "Bacterial small subunit ribosomal RNA", at positions 524 to 776 of the family's 1533-position model. The record is from RNAcentral.